This 267-nucleotide ribosomal RNA is filed under the name uncultured bacterium. RNAcentral describes it as "partial 16S ribosomal RNA". It matches the Rfam family "Bacterial small subunit ribosomal RNA", at positions 123 to 406 of the family's 1533-position model. The record is from RNAcentral.
AAUCUGCCCUUAGGUACGGAAUAACAGUGAGAAAUUACUGCUAAUACCGUAUGAUGUCUUCGGACCAAAGAUUUAUCGCCUAGGGAUGAGCCCGCGUUGGAUUAGCUAGUUGGUGGGGUAAAGGCCUACCAAGGCGACGAUCCAUAGCUGGUCUGAGAGGAUGAUCAGCCACACUGGGACUGAGACACGGCCCAGACUCCUACGGGAGGCAGCAGUGGGGAAUAUUGGACAAUGGGCGAAAGCCUGAUCCAGCAAUGCCGCGUGAGU